Molecule: transfer RNA, 74 nt
Filed under: Klebsiella phage vB_KpnM_KB57
Lineage: Duplodnaviria; Heunggongvirae; Uroviricota; Caudoviricetes
Also listed under: 1 other name
Rfam family: tRNA
About the family: Transfer RNA (tRNA) molecules are approximately 80 nucleotides in length. Their secondary structure includes four short double-helical elements and three loops (D, anti-codon, and T loops). Further hydrogen bonds mediate the characteristic L-shaped molecular structure. tRNAs have two regions of fundamental functional importance: the anti-codon, which is responsible for specific mRNA codon recognition, and the 3' end, to which the tRNAs corresponding amino acid is attached (by aminoacyl-tRNA synthetases). tRNAs cope with the degeneracy of the genetic code in two manners: having more than one tRNA (with a specific anti-codon) for a particular amino acid; and 'wobble' base-pairing, i.e. permitting non-standard base-pairing at the 3rd anti-codon position.
Source: Rfam by way of RNAcentral
CUCCGUGUAGCUCAAUAGUGUAGAGCGCCUGGUUUGGGACCAGGAGGUUGAGUGUUCGAGUCACUCUAUGGAGA